AAACGCUUGAAGUCAGUCGCGUUGGCCAGGGAUCAACCUUGCUUUUGCUUGGUGUACUUCCUGGUCGACGGGUCAACAUCAGUUUUGACCGUUGGAUAAAGGUUGGGGGAAUGUGGCAUCCUCGGAUGUGUUAUAGCUCCCAAUUGUAUACAAUGGUUGGGACUGAGGAAUUCAGCACGCCGCAAGGCCGGGUUUCGACCACGUAUCGUGCUUAGGAUGUUGACAUAAUGGCUUUAAUCGA
Molecule: ribosomal RNA, 241 nt
Filed under: Schizophyllaceae sp.
Lineage: Eukaryota; Fungi; Basidiomycota; Agaricomycetes; Agaricales; Schizophyllaceae
Description: partial large subunit ribosomal RNA
Source: RNAcentral